This 385-nucleotide ribosomal RNA is filed under the name uncultured bacterium. Its description in RNAcentral is "bacterial SSU rRNA". It matches the Rfam family "Bacterial small subunit ribosomal RNA", at positions 29 to 440 of the family's 1533-position model. The record is from RNAcentral.
AACGAACGCUGGCGGCAGGCCUAACACAUGCAAGUCGAACGCCCGUAGCAAUACGGGAGUGGCAGACGGGUGAGUAACGCGUGGGAACGUGCCCUUCGGUUCGGAAUAACUCAGGGAAACUUGAGCUAAUACCGGAUACGUCCGUAAGGAGAAAGAUUUAUCGCCGAAGGAUCGGCCCGCGUCGGAUUAGCUAGUUGGUGAGGUAAUGGCUCACCAAGGCGACGAUCCGUAGCUGGCUGAGAGGAUGAUCAGCCACACUGGGACUGAGACACGGCCCAGACUCCUACGGGAGGCAGCAGUGGGGAAUAUUGGACAAUGGGCGAAAGCCUGAUCCAGCCAUGCCGCGUGAGUGAAGAAGGCCUUAGGGUUGUAAAGCUCUUUCAGC